UUACGGAGCAACGGUUCACAAGGUAACAAUUGAAGGAGGCCACUGUUCAUCAAAGAGGUGCUCGAGGAGGAGGGAGGAGGAGUAGCAGCAGGAGAAGGAGUAGCAGCAGGAGGAGGAGUCGCACAAGAACCCUACGUAGGUAGGUACCUCUACCUCCGAAGAUCGACUGCUCCGACCACCGAAGGCCUAACCAUGCAUGCACGACAACCGCGUACGUACUAACGGCGAACGCGGGGGUGGUAAUCAACCAACCUCGAACGAGGCGAAGAACAGGUCGAGACAAAAAACGCUCGGCCACCAACGUCUAGAAUCGAGGACAAGUAUCGAUCCGGUGUCUAACGUCUAAAGAAAGAUCCACCUACUAAUCAAUCCAGCGAGCGACAAGAACUUAGCUUAGACGUCCUCACCUCUCCUCUAAGAACGUCUAAGUAGUCAUCACAUCUCCUCUUCGUCUCUAAACCUAGAACCCCCACCCCCGUUAUAUUACCGCUACCUCGGCCGCCACUUCCACCGCGACCCCUGCCGCCGCAAGCCGUAGAAGACCCACGACCGCCACAAGGGCCGCCACGGGAAGGACGGGUAGCCGGCGUGCCGCCCCAGCGACGACCCUCGGUACGAGUACCACGAGGAGUUGCAGUAGUGGCGGCUGCUCCGGAUGCGGCGCCACCUGGACGGGUAGGAGCCGGACGAUAAGCCGUGGUACCAGCAGUCGCAGAUGGACCUCGCGCGGCUGUACAAGGCGGUGGAGCCGGCGCGCGAGAGCACCGCGUCGGUCCCGCCGUUCCUGGACGAGGAGGCGUGGACGCGGCAGAGGCGCGAGCGCAGCCGCGAGAAGUGGUUGCUGUGGACGACGCACCACGAGUGGCUCAAGUAGGAGUUCUAGCGGGCGGUCUUGUUGGAGGGCGGGUUCGGGAAGGAGGACCGGGAGCGGAGGAGGCGGUUGUAGCCGAGGCGCCGGUGGGGGUAGCCGUUGGGCGUCUUGGAGCAGUAGCGGCACGUCUCGCCUUAGAGGAAGCCGCUGAAGCAGAAGCCGUAGGACGGCCGGUGCGAGCAGCCGCAGCAGCAGUUGCGGCGGUAGGACGAGACGGAGAUGACCGCCCUCGACAGGCUGCUGUUCACGCAGCUGCACAGGAGGGUGGUGCUGCGCGAGGGGCGGCUCCAGCAGCUGCUCCUGCUGCAGUGGAGCGUGGCGAAGAGCGGCCGGUGGUACAGCGUGGGCGCGGCGCCGGCGGAGGGCCUGCCAAGACAAGAGGGGCUGCGCCGGCCGACGGUGCGCGUGACGAGUACGCUGCUGGGCCACUUCGGGCGGAGGCAGUUGCCGCUGCGGUUCCGCCGCGGGCUGCCGCAGCCCUAGGUGGUCGCCGCACCGAGACGGCGGUCUCACUGCUGGUUCCUCCUCCUCCUACUCAUGACGACGAAGUUGAGCCGCCUCCUCUUCCUCCGCCGGUACCUGCUCCUCACCUUCUUGUCCGACACCUUCUGCACGCACAUGCAGUAGUGGAAGCCGUACGAGCACCGCGACGACGAACCGGACUUGUACAGGACCUCGCGGUAAUGGCGGCGGGACCGCGAGUAGCAGGAGCUGAAGUUCCUGCGGGCGGGGACGGAGCUCUUCCAGAGGAUGGGUGACGACGAGAAGAAGACACCCUACAAGUAGUGGCACCUGCCGAAGUUGUUCUGGCCGUAAGGGUCGUGGAAGACCCUCAAGUACCUCGGGAUGCGCGCCUAGCUGUGCGGGUGGCCCCACCAGUAUGAGCGGGACCAGUAGGACGAGGAGAGGUUACAGCGCAGCUUACAGGGCUGGCAGGACGACGAGCCGCGUGCCCACCGCCGCAGCCGCCGCCGGUAGAGGGGCCGCCGCCUCUGGUUGCGGACCGACUAGGACCGAACCCACUCGUGCCACCGCCCGUUGGACAGGGAAGACCCCAGCCGUCGCUUGGACUAGCACACGCUCGUCCGCGCGGCCAGGGUUGUCAAGCCCAUGUGGGAGAGGAAGAAGUCGGUGGAGGUCAAGCCGAAGGGCCGCUGCGAGUAGCAGUGUCCGUAGCCGGACGACGAGUAGUCCUCGUUGACUUGUCUCAGGAGUACUAAUAGUUGUGUUGUCGUCUUCUUCCUCUGUACUAAGUAUACCUAUAUAUCCGUACAUUUAAAAUUUUUAACACUUACAAGCCCGGCAGUAAACACCGGACACCCCAUUCAGAACAUGGCAUUUCUUUUCGACCCUCCGGGGGCUCGUGCCUACUACGGUAAGUACCACCACGAACCUCCGAAAAACCCAACAUGUAAUAUCUAUAUAUAUAACUUCUUCCUCCUCCUCCUCCUUCUACAUGUAAGACCUUAUCGACGAUAGAGUUAGUUCUUUCAUUUUUUUUUUUCCACAUAUAAACCAGUCAUAAGUAUGACUUAACCUAGACAACUGGCUGGUUCACCCGGGACAG
RNAcentral lists this ribosomal RNA (2438 nucleotides) under Triticum aestivum (bread wheat). Its description in RNAcentral is "partial small subunit ribosomal RNA". Lineage: Eukaryota; Viridiplantae; Streptophyta; Magnoliopsida; Poales; Poaceae. The record is from RNAcentral.